This 433-nucleotide ribosomal RNA is filed under the name uncultured bacterium. RNAcentral describes it as "partial 16S ribosomal RNA". It matches the Rfam family "Bacterial small subunit ribosomal RNA", at positions 29 to 507 of the family's 1533-position model. The record is from RNAcentral.
AACGAACGCUGGCGGCAUGCCUAACACAUGCAAGUCGAACGAGACCUUCGGGUCUAGUGGCGCACGGGUGCGUAACGCGUGGGAACCUGCCCUUAGGUUCGGAAUAACUCCCCGAAAGGGGUGCUAAUACCGGAUAAUGUCUCCGGACCAAAGAUUGAUCGCCCUUGGAUGGGCCCGCGUUGGAUUAGCUAGUUGGUAGGGUAAAAGCCUACCAAGGCGACGAUCCAUAGCUGGUCUGAGAGGACGAUCGGCCACACUGGGACUGAGACACGGCCCAGACUCCUACGGGAGGCGGGAGUGGGGAAUAUUGGACAGUGGGCGAAAGCCUGAGCCAGCAAUGCCGGGUGAGUGAUGAAGGCCUUAGGGUUGUAAAGCUCUUUUACCCGGGAGGAUAAUGACGGUACCGGGAGAAUAAGCGCCGGCUAACUCCGUG